Molecule: ribosomal RNA, 526 nt
Filed under: uncultured bacterium
Lineage: Bacteria
Description: bacterial SSU rRNA
Rfam family: Bacterial small subunit ribosomal RNA
Source: RNAcentral
AGAGUUUGAUCAUGGCUCAGAGUGAACGCUGGCGGCAGGCCUAACACAUGCAAGUCGAACGCAGCACAGGAGAGCUUGCUCUCUGGGUGGCGAGUGGCGGACGGGUGAGGAAUACGUCGGAAUCUGCCUAUUUGUGGGGGAUAACGUAGGGAAACUUACGCUAAUACCGCAUACGACCUUCGGGUGAAAGUGGGGGACCGCAAGGCCUCACGCAGAUAGAUGAGCCGACGUCGGAUUAGCUAGUUGGCGGGGUAAAGGCCCACCAAGGCGACGAUCCGUAGCUGGUCUGAGAGGAUGAUCAGCCACACUGGAACUGAGACACGGUCCAGACUCCUACGGGAGGCAGCAGUGGGGAAUAUUGGACAAUGGGCGCAAGCCUGAUCCAGCCAUGCCGCGUGUGUGAAGAAGGCCUUCGGGUUGUAAAGCACUUUUGUUGGGAAAGAAAAGCAGCCGAUUAAUACUCGGUUGUCUGACGGUACCCAAAGAAUAAGCACCGGCUAACUCGUGCCAGCAGCCGCGGUAAUAC